GCCAGGUGUGGUGGCGCACGCCUGUAAUCCCAGCUACUCAGGAGGCUGAGGCAGAAGAACCGCUUGAACCCAGGAGGCAGAUGUUGCAGUGAGCUGACUGCACACCAGCCUGGGUGACAGAGUGGGACUCUGUCCCAA
RNAcentral lists this non-coding RNA (138 nucleotides) under Homo sapiens (human). The record is from Rfam by way of RNAcentral. Lineage: Eukaryota; Metazoa; Chordata; Mammalia; Primates; Hominidae.